This 447-nucleotide ribosomal RNA is filed under the name uncultured bacterium. Its description in RNAcentral is "partial 16S ribosomal RNA". It matches the Rfam family "Bacterial small subunit ribosomal RNA", at positions 329 to 793 of the family's 1533-position model. The record is from RNAcentral.
UGCCAGACUCCUACGGGAGGCAGCAGUGGGGAAUAUUGCACAAUGGGGGAAACCCUGGUGCAGCGACGCCGCGUGAGCGAUGAAGUAUUUCGGUAUGUAGAGCUCUAUCAGCAGGGAAGAAAAUGACGGUACCUGACUAAGAAGCCCCGGCUAACUACGUGCCAACAGCCGCGGUAAUACGUAGGGGGCAAGCGUUAUCCGGAUUUACUGGGUGUAAAGGGAGCGUAGACGGCGGUGCAAGCCAGAUGUGAAAGCCCGGGGCUCAACCCCGGGACUGCAUUUGGAACUGUGCUGCUAGAGUGUCGGAGAGGCAGGCGGAAUUCCUAGUGUAGCGGUGAAAUGCGUAGAUAUUAGGAGGAACACCAGUGGCGAAGGCGUCUUACUGGACCGAAACUGACGUUGAGGCUCGAAAGCGUGGGGAGCAAACAGGAUUAGAUACCCUUGUAA